RNAcentral lists this ribosomal RNA (497 nucleotides) under uncultured bacterium. RNAcentral's name for it is "partial 16S ribosomal RNA". It matches the Rfam family "Bacterial small subunit ribosomal RNA", at positions 28 to 507 of the family's 1533-position model. The record is from RNAcentral.
GAUGAACGCUGGCGGCGUGCCUAAUACAUGCAAGUCGAGCGAACAGACGAGGAGCUUGCUCCUCUGACGUUAGCGGCGGACGGGUGAGUAACACGUGGAUAACCUACCUAUAAGACUGGGAUAACUUCGGGAAACCGGAGCUAAUACCGGAUAAUAUAUUGAACCGCAUGGUUCAUUAGUGAAAGACGUUUUUUCUGUCACUUAUAGAUGGAUCCGCGCCGCAUUAGCUAGUUGGUAAGGUACCAGCUUACCAAGGCAACGAUGCGUAGCCGACCUGAGAGGGUGAUCGGCCACACUGGCACUGAGACACGGUCCAGACUCCUACGGGAGGCAGCAGUAGGGAAUCUUCCGCGAUGGGCGAAAGCCUGACGGAGCAACGCCGCGUGAAUGAUGAAGGUCUUCGGAUCGUAAAACUCUGUUAUUAGGGAAGAACAAAUGUGUAAGUAACUAUGCACGUCUUGACGGUACCUAAUCAGAAAGCCACGGCUAACUACGUG